ACCUGUCAGGCAACACACACUGUCACCGCCCUGCCCCGCAGGCACAAACCGCUGACAAUUACAGGAUGCUGUGGAGGCCAUGCCUCAAGAGGGAGGGGCGAAUAGUUCUUCAAGCACUCUCUGGUAUUUGACCCGCAGUCUCAGGUUUAUGAUCUAAGUGCCGUUGCGUCGGGCAUGGCGCUCUUCUGAGGAUUCGUCUCCCCUCGGCUGGAGAUUGACAGGACGAGAAAAAGGCCGGCUGAUUGGCUUCAUGGGCGAAUAUCUCCAAACUUUCUGCAUUUUCAUCAAGAAACCCGACUCCCGUUUGCUCAAGACACGUAAGGAAUAGCAGUGAAACCAAAGAACAGCGGAGCCAGAGGGCAAACUCCUCACAGAUUUAGAUGGCGAGUAGUGGGCUGCCACAUCAGAGCCACUGCUUUGUGCUGACUGGGAGGUUCUGGUAGAGCUGCUGCACGGGCUUAUCUGAAGGCUGUUUUCACGUUGCUUCCUUUGUGAUCUAUCGGCCCGAAUACAGACGCCUGAGUUGCUGCUCACACCUCAGAUGCAGACAACCCAUGGCGAGG
Molecule: long non-coding RNA, 563 nt
Organism: Gasterosteus aculeatus aculeatus (three-spined stickleback)
Lineage: Eukaryota; Metazoa; Chordata; Actinopteri; Perciformes; Gasterosteidae
Source: Ensembl